Calypte anna (Anna's hummingbird) is the source of this 675-nucleotide long non-coding RNA. RefSeq lists it as uncharacterized. NCBI's taxonomy places the organism in Eukaryota, Metazoa, Chordata, Aves, Apodiformes, Trochilidae. The transcript is spliced from 2 exons. The record is from RefSeq and is a predicted model, not a curated record.
AAGGCGAAGCCAAACAGCCGCCAUUUUACUUAUGGGCUGGGAGUGCACUGCGAGCCCGUCGAGCCUUCAGUGUCCAUUUUGCAACAGCGCUUUGCACGUUACGCUGAACGGCUCAGGUAAUGGCACUUGAGGAGCAGGUACGGUCUACUUUUUUUCCAGACCAGCGAGAGCUGGCAAAGUGAAUAUCGCUCAGCGUUUCAGGGCAGACGUAGCCUCGGCCGUUCGCAUCGAACUCUUCCUUUCACCACAUCCAGUACCAGCUUCUGUUCUGCCCGCACACCGCCCUCCCCGGCUUCAGCCCCUCCAGCGAUAUGGCUGAUUGAGGGAGGGGAGGCGGCGGCUGGGGUUUCAUUCGACGCCCACCAGGGGCUGAGCGAGCCUCCUUCAGUGCGCAAACUCGGGGCACCACAUAAAAGCUGGGCUGGCAGCUCUUACCCUGCCUCGAUGGAGCCGCUACAAUCGGGUGACUGGAGAAGCAGUUAGCAGCAGCGCCAUAGACUAGCGUCCCCCCACACCUUGGCCAGAGAGUUUGGGGCUCUAAACAGCUGCUGCUGCGGCAAGAGGGAGCCGAGGUGAAGGGAUCUGGCUAGCUGGUUGGACGCAAAGGAGGCGGCUGUAAUGGGGCAUUGAGUGAGGGAGGAGGGGGGCGAUUAAACGUCUUGUGACCAUGGCGGA